GUGGGGAAUAUUGCGCAAUAGGGGAAACCCUGACGCAGCGACGCCGCGUGGGUGAUGAAGGCCUUCGGGUCGUAAAGCCCUGUGGGAGAGGGAAGAAACACUGGCGGGAACAAUACCCCGCUGGCCUGACGGUACCUCUCCAGAAAGCACCGGCUAACUCCGUGCCAGCAGCCGCGGUAAGACGGAGGGUGCUAACGUUGCUCGGAAUUACUGGGCGUAAAGCGCGUGUAGGCGGGACGGCAAGCGAGAUGUGAAAUCCCUCGGCUCAACUGAGGAAGUGCAUUUCGAACUGCCGACCUUGAGUGCGGGAGAGGGAGGUAGAAUUCCCGGUGUAGAGGUGAAAUUCGUAGAUAUCGGGAGGAAUACCGGUGGCGAAGGCGGCCUCCUGGACCGACACUGACGCUGAGACGCGAAAGCGUGGGGAGCAAACAGGAUUAGAUACCCCUGUAGUCC
This 453-nucleotide ribosomal RNA is filed under the name uncultured bacterium. Its description in RNAcentral is "bacterial SSU rRNA". It matches the Rfam family "Bacterial small subunit ribosomal RNA", at positions 354 to 796 of the family's 1533-position model. The record is from RNAcentral.